AGUUGGCAGAGAUGAUUUUCUCCAUAGAUGUUAUGGGAAGUACAUGUUGCUGAAAUAGACCUAAGUGUAAAAUCUGGAAGCAGGGAGCCAAAUUGUACUCAAUAUAUUGAUUUAGAUUUUGUAUUUCUUAAUAUGAAGGUAUUUUGUCAGUAAAAGAAAAAUCAUGCAUUUAUUUUUACUGUCUUCUGGUUGACGACUCAGGUUGUAAAGGAAAAUGUAAAAGCUGUUAGGGUUGCUAGGCAUUGUGUACAUACAGGACAUGGUCUGUGUUGUUUUUGUCAGGACUCCCUAAAUCUCCUGUGUUCAGCUUUAUUCAGUAAAUUAAGAAAUUUGUUAUUAGAGCUCUUUUUCUGCCAUAAUAUUUAGUACUUAGAUCACUUAAUGGCAACACUUUACGUGAGUUGAGCCUUCAUUGCCAUGGCCUUGAGAUAAUCAGAUUGAAUCUUUUUGAUUCUUUUGGUUGCUAUUCUGUCUUUAUGUAUAUUUGAAUUCCAGAAUGCCAGUGUAUAUUCUGAAUAGCGGGCAUUUUAGUAAAAAUAAAAGCCCUUUUAAAAUGGUGCAGUAGAUAAUUAUUAAUUCAGUGUUGAAAAUCAUGGCAAGUGAGAUAUAUAAAUUAUCAUCUGUAACUGGUAAGCAUAAGAAAUACAUAAUUUAAGCUAAUACCAAAGGAAGUGGUAAAAUACAAUUUUUGAUUAAGAAAAAUGCACAUGAAGAUAAGAAUUGAAAUCGCAAAGGCCUUCCAAAUAGUAUAAUACCAGUCUUGUAGCUGAAAUGACUGAACUCACUGCUAUCAGAAGUAUUUUCUGACUUCAAAACUGAAAGCAUAUUUUGAAGUGCCAAGAUGAAAUCCUGUAAUAAUGAAAAAU
RNAcentral lists this long non-coding RNA (866 nucleotides) under Bos taurus (domestic cattle). RNAcentral describes it as "long non-coding RNA NONBTAT012087". The record is from RNAcentral. Lineage: Eukaryota; Metazoa; Chordata; Mammalia; Artiodactyla; Bovidae.